UGGUGCAUAACUAAAUUUGAGCAGCGUCUUUUUCUCCUUGUGAUUGUAGGCUUCCAGCCAUCCGACGGGGUGAUGAAGCAGCGGUGCCAAAUCUGACCUUAUCUACAUUAGCUGCAUGUAUGGUUGAAUUCGGGACUAAGUACAUGAUUGAAAGAGUCAUAGCCUAGAAAUUUUGUCGAUUGUUUGAUCUGGUUUGUGACGCAGUGGUCUUUCUUUGGAGAGGGACCGAUCUCUAGUCACUUGUAUUCUAUGGGAAGCCACC
RNAcentral lists this long non-coding RNA (262 nucleotides) under Elaeis guineensis (African oil palm). RNAcentral describes it as "long non-coding RNA (EGUI_LNC000145)". Lineage: Eukaryota; Viridiplantae; Streptophyta; Magnoliopsida; Arecales; Arecaceae. The record is from RNAcentral.